This 338-nucleotide ribosomal RNA is filed under the name Salmonella enterica subsp. enterica serovar Oranienburg. RNAcentral's name for it is "bacterial LSU rRNA". It matches the Rfam family "Bacterial large subunit ribosomal RNA", at positions 2605 to 2925 of the family's 2925-position model. Lineage: Bacteria; Pseudomonadati; Pseudomonadota; Gammaproteobacteria; Enterobacterales; Enterobacteriaceae. RNAcentral also lists the same sequence under 1 other name. The record is from RNAcentral.
CUGGGUUUAGAACGUCGUGAGACAGUUCGGUCCCUAUCUGCCGUGGGCGCUGGAGAACUGAGGGGGGCUGCUCCUAGUACGAGAGGACCGGAGUGGACGCAUCACUGGUGUUCGGGUUGUCAUGCCAAUGGCACUGCCCGGUAGCUAAAUGCGGAAGAGAUAAGUGCUGAAAGCAUCUAAGCACGAAACUUGCCCCGAGAUGAGUUCUCCCUGAGACUUAGAGUCUCCUGAAGGAACGUUGAAGACGACGACGUUGAUAGGCCGGGUGUGUAAGCGCAGCGAUGCGUUGAGCUAACCGGUACUAAUGAACCGUGAGGCUUAACCUUACAACGCCGAAG